UCAGGAAUGAACCUGAGAAUAAAAAUAUUAUCUAGAAGAAUCUUCUACACUAGAUGUUCCAAAAUCUUUUCUACCCAUGCCAAGCCACUGACUACCUUUCUCCAUCCCAAGUUUGUAACUGCUAAUAAAGCAAGGAGAAGUCUCUAGCUUUAGAGAGAUGGAGUACAUAAAGGUUUCUACUGUGUCACAUGAGACAUACGUGGAAUGGGCACCCUUGAAUCUGGUCAAUGUAAGGAAAGAUGUUUAACAGGUAAGCCAUGGCACAUCACAAUGACAUAAUCAGUAGGCCCUCCCUGAAACAUCUAUUGAAACCUGGAGAGGACUAGCUUCUUCUGUGAUGUCACAAGUGUUGUCGUGACUGCAACUCCCUUCAGAUAUCCCCUCAGUACCUCUAGUGUUUACUAAUUUAACUCUAAUCGAGAGUAAACAGUCAUUGUGGAGUGAGAAGGAAGAGGAUGAUGAGAUCAGAGAUGGUAAGAAGGAAGGUGGUCUUCUGUCUUGUUAUAAAAAAAGGAUGAAAUACAUGGUACUUCGGAAAGCUCAAAAAACUCUCAAAACUCAUCCUGGCUGACAAUGUAGAUUAGACGCAUCAGAUGAAAUGAAUUGAAAAACUCUCCUGGGAAUGAAAGUGGUAAGGAAAUCACAUUGAUGUAUCCUAAAUGCAGUGCUAAGAGCAAUAUUCAGACUAGUCUGUGGAGAUGCUGCUGUCAUCAGAGACCACAGACAAUUAGUGGAGAAUGAUUCAGCAUUAAACUGGGAAUGGAAGAUGAUGGUUGAUAUUGUUCUAGUAGAUCUCACUACAUUAAAAAGUGUUUCUUCCAGAUAACUGAAUGAUUAUUGUAAAGCAAAUCCCGGAAUGAACUUAUGAGACCCACCAUCAGCCUGUCAAAUAAUGUGCGAAAGAAGAAAUCUGUGUCUCUCCAGGGACAAAUUGUUGCUUUCAAACCAACAGUAAAGUGUCCAUUCUAUGAAUGAUACAUUGAUAUAUACACAUUAUAGAAGGAUGGAUACAGAGUUUCUUCAGGUCCAUGAAUGAGGUAUUCAGCAGUUGACCUGGAGUAGCAAUGAGGGUAAUUUUUGCCAACUCUUCAGACUUGAGCUCCUUCACUAGGAUCCCCAUGAUUGAAGAAAAGAACAAACUUCAGACAAUUUGUCUCAGAUUUUUAUGUAGUUAAGAUUUCCUGGUCUUGGACCUAGGAAGGAAGGAUAUCUUGCUUUCCAAUUCUUGUUUAUCCUAUAAUCCUCUCUGCUGCAUUCAUGCAAAUAGAUUACUGUGCAUUUCUUUAAUAGGUUACAAUUGCUAUUUUAAUUAUGUUGCCAAGAACUAUAGAAAAAAAGAAGGACUGUAUCAAAGCAUCAUAUGAAAAUACGACUAAGGUAAUGUGGCCAUUGGAAAUUUGUAACUGACCUGAAACUCUUACUAGAGACAAAAUGCCAUAAAAGGUCUUCUCUAGAUAUCUGGUGUAGUAGUUGGUGUUCCCCAACAGACAGUAAAGGAUGAAUCUCUCUGUACAGAGAAAUCGGACUAGUCACAAUGAUCACAGACUAUGGAACACAUAAUUUAACAAUGACUGACUAUUUUUAAAGUCCUAGAAUCCAUUAGUUUAUUAGUCCAAAAGGAAAGAUGUCUUAUCUGGUCAUUGACAUAUGGAUAAAUAUUCAGUAUGCAGGUUCUAAUGUCUAUGAGGAUUUGGUAUCACUGUGAGUGCAAAAAUGAAAAAGUAAAGGCUUCUUUCUUCCAUGUUUUCUACGGGGAUUCAAAUAGAAUGCAUGGUUUAGAAUACAUUGGGUUUGCCAUUCUCAAACAGACCAAUAUCUUCAACUGAACAUUCUUUUCUUGGAAGCUGCACCCUGUCAGCAUGGCUCACGUGUAUGUGAACUGCAAGAUCUAGUCUGGGAAGGCGGUCCUGUUCAUCGAUCCAACCUGCCCCUAAUACUGAAAUACCCAAGACUUCCUCAAUCAACUCCUUUGCAAACAUGGUCUUCUGGGAUUUGAAGACAUUACAUCUACUAACAACACCAAUGCAAUUCAAGAUUACUUUCAACAGCUCCCUGGAGUGAGAAUUGUUCCUUGGGUCCUUAUAUGUAGAGAAAGACUGCAUAGGCAGACACAGUGAUCUAAUCUACCUGCAACAGAAUGAAGAGAUGAUGAUGUGGCUGAAGCAGAUUGGAGCUCUGCAUUUAUUAAAGGGAUGGCAGUAAAAGCCCAUGCUGACAGCAGACAUUCAGACAUGCUGAAGCCAUGAUGAGACUUGAUGUUUGUCACAGAUGAUGUCAGUAUUUUCUUAUGACUGGGAUUUUCAACAAAUUGGCUUUCAUUCUAUUCCUCAUUCCAAAAAAUCUGUUGCUGUAGGCCUCAAACCAUGGGGUAGGGAAACUUAAGAGACAACAGAGGUUUGAUAAUCCAGUCUUCAUUCACUGACUUGUCUCUACCUCUAAGUCCAUGUUUCACAAUCCAGUGCAUUUAAAUCUCCAGGGAAUCAGUUACUGUUUCUCUACCAUGCUGGUCUGCUGAAGUCAUUUUACAGAAGUCCACUUCCAAGUAAUUAUUAAAGCAAUGAAUAUUUUGAAGUUGUUUAUGAUCUACACACAGGCUUUUUACGCCCCAAGCAUGUACCAUCCCACUUCUGCAUUUGCAGCUCUCAGCCAGUGUUCUCGACCUAUCCAUCCAGCAACCCUUAGAUUCCACACUUUGUAUGAGGAUAAUAUUUGAAAAAACAGAAGAAUAGCUGUAGCAUAGUUGUUCUUCUCUGUAGCCAUAUUAACACAGACGGCAGAGCAUAUGAUGCAUUCAUCUCUGUUUGUAGUGUUUAAUUCCCCGUAAAGUCCCAAACAAUUGAGAGUUGAUUCUGUCAGAGUACCAGCAAAGUCAAAAAGGAAAUGCAAAAUUUCAGAAUUCUCCUUCCAAAGAUGUUUUGAAAGAAGUUGUUUGCAAAACACUGUCUUAAUAAAUUUAUUCCAUUCUCACUUUGAU
Rattus norvegicus (Norway rat) is the source of this 2974-nucleotide non-coding RNA. The record is from RefSeq and is a predicted model, not a curated record. Lineage: Eukaryota; Metazoa; Chordata; Mammalia; Rodentia; Muridae.